This is a small nucleolar RNA of Hyla sarda, 87 nucleotides long. RefSeq annotates it as small nucleolar RNA SNORD35. The record is from RefSeq and is a predicted model, not a curated record. The transcript has a single exon. Lineage: Eukaryota; Metazoa; Chordata; Amphibia; Anura; Hylidae.
UGCAAAUGAUGUCUUACUCACGAUGGUCUUCCAAGUCUCAGAAGAGGCUCUGACGAUGGUGCCGAAUGGCUUUGCUGAUGCUUAUAC